This 532-nucleotide long non-coding RNA is filed under the name Lupinus angustifolius (narrow-leaved blue lupine). RNAcentral describes it as "long non-coding RNA (LANG_LNC002370)". Lineage: Eukaryota; Viridiplantae; Streptophyta; Magnoliopsida; Fabales; Fabaceae. The record is from RNAcentral.
CGAUCAUUUAGCAUUUCACAUCAAUAAACCAGAUUAUGAAAAAUUCUCAUUACUCGGAAUAGUAAUUAGGAAAUGAACACCAACAGUGAACUACAAUAAGCUCCUUAAACAUUAAUCUUCUGGCAAUAAACGAAAAACAUGACAGUUCCAUAACACUGUUUUUGUCUCAAAAGUAAUAAAAACCGCAACUAAUUAAAAACUGAAAUGAAUGCAGGCAAAGCAAGCAAGCACCUCAGAAUCCGAGCUUAGUACGACGCCAGUGGCGGCGCUUAGCAUUGUACCUGAAAAAAAAAACAUAACAAGUUUUAACGACAGAGAACUUAUAACAUUGCAAUGACAAAGACAUAAAAAAGAGUGUAAUAAGAAGUACCUGAUGGUGUUGUCGGUCCUCAUGCGGAUCCAGUAGGGGAUUGGCCUAUUCUGCCUAAUCUUCUUCGCCAGCUUCUUCUUGAUUUUGAAUGUCUUGUGCGACGGCUAAAACAUCAACAAAGAAAUCAAUCAAACCAGACCAAAAAACAUGAAAGCAAAUUCC